GAUGAACGCUGGCGGCGUGCCUAAUACAUGCAAGUCGAGCGAACGGACGAGAAGCUUGCUUCUCUGAUGUUAGCGGCGGACGGGUGAGUAACACGUGGAUAACCUACCUAUAAGACUGGGAUAACUUCGGGAAACCGGAGCUAAUACCGGAUAAUAUUUUGAACCGCAUGGUUCAAAAGUGAAAGACGGUCUUGCUGUCACUUAUAGAUGGAUCCGCGCUGCAUUAGCUAGUUGGUAAGGUAACGGCUUACCAAGGCAACGAUGCACAGCCGACCUGAGAGGGUGAUCGGCCACACUGGAACUGAGACACGGUCCAGACUCCUACGGGAGGCAGCAGUAGGGAAUCUUCCGCAAUGGGCGAAAGCCUGACGGAGCAACGCCGCGUGAGUGAUGAAGGUCUUCGGAUCGUAAAAUUCUGUUAUUAGGGAAGAACAUAUGUGUAAGUAACUGUGCACAUCUUGACGGUACCUAAUCAGAAAGCCACGGCUAACUACGUG
RNAcentral lists this ribosomal RNA (497 nucleotides) under uncultured bacterium. Its description in RNAcentral is "partial 16S ribosomal RNA". It matches the Rfam family "Bacterial small subunit ribosomal RNA", at positions 28 to 507 of the family's 1533-position model. The record is from RNAcentral.